GACGAACGCUGGCGGCGUGCCUAAUACAUGCAAGUCGAACGGAAAGGCCCGGCUCUUGUGCGGUGCUCGAGUGGCGAACGCGUGUGAAUAACGCGUGUAACCUCUCCCUGUCAUUGGGGUAACACCUGGAAACACGGGCUCUUAUACCAUAUGAGCUCUUGCAGCACAGGGGUGGAUGGUAAGAUUCGGCGGUUCGGGAUGGACUCGUGGUUUAUCAGCUUGUUGGUGAGGUAGUGGCUUACCAAGGCUUCGACGGGUAGCCGGCCUGAGAGGGUGACAGGCCACAUUGGGACUGAGGUACGGCCCAGACUGCUACGGGAGGCAGCGGUGGGAAAUAUUGCACAAUGGGCCGAAGCCUGAUACAGCGGCGCCGGGUGCGGAAUGACGGCCUUCGGGUUGUAAACCGCUUUCGCCUGUAACGAAGCGUGAGUGACGGUAAUUAGUAAGAAAGCAACGGCUAACUACGUG
Molecule: ribosomal RNA, 468 nt
Filed under: uncultured bacterium
Lineage: Bacteria
Description: partial 16S ribosomal RNA
Rfam family: Bacterial small subunit ribosomal RNA
Source: RNAcentral